AUUGAACGCUGGCGGCAGGCUUAACACAUGCAAGUCGAGCGGUAGCACAAGAGAGCUUGCUCUCUGGGUGACGAGCGGCGGACGGGUGAGUAAUGUCUGGGAAACUGCCUGAUGGAGGGGGAUAACUACUGGAAACGGUAGCUAAUACCGCAUAACGUCGCAAGACCAAAGAGGGGGACCUUCGGGCCUCUUGCCAUCAGAUGUGCCCAGAUGGGAUUAGCUAGUAGGUGGGGUAAUGGCUCACCUAGGCGACGAUCCCUAGCUGGUCUGAGAGGAUGACCAGCCACACUGGAACUGAGACACGGUCCAGACUCCUACGGGAGGCAGCAGUGGGGAAUAUUGCACAAUGGGCGCAAGCCUGAUGCAGCCAUGCCGCGUGUGUGAAGAAGGCCUUCGGGUUGUAAAGCACUUUCAGCGAGGAGGAAGGUGGUGAACUUAAUACGUUCAUCAAUUGACGUUACUCGCAGAAGAAGCACCGGCUAACUCCGUGCCAGCAGCCGCGGUAAUAUGGAGGGUGCAAGCGUCAAUCGGAAUUACUGGGGGUUAAAGCGCACGCAGGCGGUUUGUUAGUCAGAUGUGAAAUCCCCGGGCUCCACCCUGGGAACUGCAUUUGAAACUGGCAAGCUAGAGUCUCGUAGAGGGGGGUAGAAUUCCAGGUGUAGCGGUGAAAUGCGUAGAGAUCUGGAGGAAUACCGGUGGCGAAGGCGGCCCCCUGGACGAAGACUGACGCUCAGGUGCGAAAGCGUGGGGAGCAAACAGGAUUAGAUACCCUGGUAGUCCACGCUGUAAACGAUGUCGAUUUGGAGGUUGUGCCCUUGAGGCGUGGCUUCCGGAGCUAACGCGUUAAAUCGACCGCCUGGGGAGUACGGCCGCAAGGUUAAAACUCAAAUGAAUUGACGGGGGCCCGCACAAGCGGUGGAGCAUGUGGUUUAAUUCGAUGCAACGCGAAGAACCUUACCUACUCUUGACAUCCAGAGAACUUUCCAGAGAUGGAUUGGUGCCUUCGGGAACUCUGAGACAGGUGCUGCAUGGCUGUCGUCAGCUCGUGUUGUGAAAUGUUGGGUUAAGUCCCGCAACGAGCGCAACCCUUAUCCUUUGUUGCCAGCGGUUCGGCCGGGAACUCAAAGGAGACUGCCAGUGAUAAACUGGAGGAAGGUGGGGAUGACGUCAAGUCAUCAUGGCCCUUACGAGUAGGGCUACACACGUGCUACAAUGGCAUAUACAAAGAGAAGCGACCUCGCGAGAGCAAGCGGACCUCAUAAAGUAUGUCGUAGUCCGGAUUGGAGUCUGCAACUCGACUCCAUGAAGUCGGAAUCGCUAGUAAUCGUAGAUCAGAAUGCUACGGUGAAUACGUUCCCGGGCCU
This 1364-nucleotide ribosomal RNA is filed under the name uncultured bacterium. RNAcentral describes it as "bacterial SSU rRNA". It matches the Rfam family "Bacterial small subunit ribosomal RNA", at positions 28 to 1381 of the family's 1533-position model. The record is from RNAcentral.